UACGUAGGGUGCGAGCGUUACUCGGAAUUACUGGGCGUAAAGCGUGCGCAGGCGGUUUUGUAAGCCAGAUGUGAAAUCCCCGGGCUUAACCUGGGAAUGGCAUUUGGGACUGCAAGGCUGGAGUGCGGCAGAGGAGACUGGAAUUCCUGGUGUAGCAGUGAAAUGCGUAGAUAUCAGGAGGAAUACCGAUGGCGAAGGCAGGUCUCUGGGCUGACACUGACGCUCAUGCACGAAAGCGUGGGGAGCAAACAGG
Molecule: ribosomal RNA, 253 nt
Filed under: uncultured bacterium
Lineage: Bacteria
Description: partial 16S ribosomal RNA
Rfam family: Bacterial small subunit ribosomal RNA
Source: RNAcentral